AACCAGGAGGUUGGCUUAGAAGCAGCCAUCCUUGAAAGAGUGCGUAAUAGCUCACUGGUCAAGUGAUUCUGCGCCGAUAAUGUAGCGGGGCUCAAGUACACCGCCGAAGUUGUGGCAAUGAUCUUUUUGGAUUGUUGGGUAGGGGAGCGUCGUGUGGCCGGUGAAGCUGCGGUGUAAACCAGUGGUGGAGGCUAUGCGAGUGAGAAUGCAGGCAUGAGUAGCGAAAGAUGAGUGAGAAACUCAUCCGCCGGAUGAUCAAGGGUUCCAGGGUCAAGUUAAUCUGCCCUGGGUUAGUCGGGGCCUAAGGCGAGGCCGACAGGCGUAGUCGAUGGAUAACGGGUUGAUAUUCCCGUACCGGUGAAAAACCGCCCAUACUGAUAUUGUGAUGCUAACCAUGCGAAGCAUGAUGUGCAGGCUUUUGUUUGUGUGUUGUGUGGGUUGUGGGACCCGAUCUUUGGAGGUAAACGUGUUAACAGGUGUGACGCAGGAAGGUAGCCAAGCCACGCGAUGGUUGUCGUGGUCUAAGCGUGUAGGGUUGUCGGUUGUUAAAUGCGCCGGCUGUGUGCCUGAGACGUGAUGGGACCCCGUUUUUGGGGGAUUUGGUGAUCCUAUGCUGCCGAGAAAAGCAUCGGCGUGAGGUUUUAGCCGCCCGUACCCUAAACCGACACAGGUGAUCAGGUAGAGAAUACUAAGGCGAUCGAGAGAAUCAUGGUUAAGGAACUCGGCAAAAUGCCCCCGUAACUUCGGGAGAAGGGGGGCCCUGAGCGUGAUCUGCCCGUGCGGUGGGGAGCGUGUAGGGGUCGCAGAGACCAGGGGGAAGCGACUGUUUAUCAAAAACACAGGUCCGUGCGAAGUCGUAAGACGAUGUAUACGGACUGACUCCUGCCCGGUGCUGGAAGGUUAAGAGGAUUGGUUAGCCUUUUUUGGGCGAAGCUGAGAAUUUAAGCCCCAGUAAACGGCGGUGGUAACUAUAACCAUCCUAAGGUAGCGAAAUUCCUUGUCGGGUAAGUUCCGACCUGCACGAAUGGAGUAACGACUUCCCUACUGUCUCAACCAUGAACUCGGCGAAAUUGCAGUACGAGUAAAGAUGCUCGUUUCGCGCAGCAGGACGGAAAGACCCCGUGACCUUUACUAUAGUUUGGUAUUGGUGUUUGGUUUGGCUUGUGUAGGAUAGGUGGGAGACUGUGAAGCAUGGACGCUAGUUUGUGUGGAGUCGUUGUUGAAAUACCACUCUGGUCAAUCUGGAUGUCUAACUUCGGGCCAUGAUCUGGUUCAGGGACAGUGCCUGAUGGGUAGUUUAACUGGGGCGGUUGCCUCCUAAAGUGUAACGGAGGCGCCCAAAGGUUCCCUCAGCCUGGUUGGCAAUCAGGUGUUGAGUGUAAGUGCACAAGGGAGCUUGACUGUGAGACUGGCAGGUCGAGCAGGGACGAAAGUCGGGACUAGUGAUCCGGCGGUACGUUGUGGAACGGCCGUCGCUCAACGGAUAAAAGGUACCUCGGGGAUAACAGGCUGAUCUUGCCCAAGAGUCCAUAUCGACGGCAUGGUUUGGCACCUCGAUGUCGGCUCGUCGCAUCCUGGGGCUGGAGUCGGUCCCAAGGGUUGGGCUGUUCGCCCAUUAAAGCGGUACGCGAGCUGGGUUCAGAACGUCGUGAGACAGUUCGGUCCCUAUCCGCUGCGCGCGUUGGAAAUUUGAGAAAGGCUGUCCUUAGUACGAGAGGACCGGGACGGACGAACCUCUGGUAUGUCAGUUGUACCGCCAGGUGCAUGGCUGAUUGGCUACGUUCGGGAGGGAUAACCGCUGAAAGCAUCUAAGCGGGAAGCCUGUUUCGAGAUGAGAUUUCCUGGCACUUUGG
This 1853-nucleotide ribosomal RNA is filed under the name human oral metagenome. RNAcentral describes it as "bacterial LSU rRNA". It matches the Rfam family "Bacterial large subunit ribosomal RNA", at positions 1091 to 2825 of the family's 2925-position model. The record is from RNAcentral.